RNA transcript from Phalaenopsis equestris, 1786 nucleotides. RefSeq lists it as uncharacterized. The transcript is spliced from 7 exons. The record is from RefSeq and is a predicted model, not a curated record. NCBI's taxonomy places the organism in Eukaryota, Viridiplantae, Streptophyta, Magnoliopsida, Asparagales, Orchidaceae.
AAAAACACCCAUUUUUAUUUGCAGUGCAAGAAGCCCCACUGCUCAUCUUCCCUGACAAUAUGGCUAAUUUUCCCGUUCCCGAACCCCAAAACUCACAACCCUCACCCCGCUUCGCGGCCAACAUCACCGGUGGAGCCAACUGCUUCGACGUUCGCUACCUCCAGACGCUGGAAAACGACACUGCUUCUUCGAUCCUACAUUUCUUCGUGAGGCAGAGAAUGAUUCCCGAAUAUGUCGUAAAUGCGGCCUUCCUCGCCCUUCCCCUUCCCAAUCCUAUUUCAUUCAGCCUCAAAAAGGAUACACUUUUGAGGCGGCUUGCCUCAGAGUUAGUGCUCCGCUCUGUCUCUGAGGAAACCCUAAGAAUCCUCGAGCUCAUUGAGGAGCUCGACCGCAAGAAUAGCCAUUGCCCCCCUUCUGAGGUCAUGAAGGCCGCUUACUGUGCCGUUGCAUCGUCGUGCACCGCUACCGCCCUUCAUCAGAACGUGGAUGAUUUCCUUGAUUCCUUCCAUCGGAUAUGGGUGCUGCGCAUCUGCGACGUUGAGAAGUCAGCGGCGGCUGCAUUGAUUUCUGAGGAGCUUCGGGAAGUGAGGGAUAUUUUUUGGGAGGUUGUGAAGGAUCCAAAGCUUCGGCCUUUGGUAGCUAAUAUUGAUUUGGAGGAGACGCUAGAUCUGGUUCGGGAUUAUCUUGAGGAGGUGUGGGACAUGAAGCCUUUGUUUCCUGAGGUGGCUGCAGAUGAGAUUGAUGGAGCUUUGAGAAUUCCGGGAGAGAGAAUGAAGCCCAGAAAAGGACCGUCAGGUUUGAGGAAUCAGACGUUUGGUUGUGUUCCGAAUACUAAGUUGGAACGUCUUGUAACUGAAGAGGGUAUGAAAGCACAAAAUGGAAUUGCUGAACCUAUCAUCGCUUCUGAUUCUGAGUCUAAUGGUCAGUUGGACCAGGACAGAGGCUUGGAAAUCAGCAAGCGUUCUUCUCAGCUGCUGAAUGCUGACGUCGAUGAUGAGCAGGCCUUGAAAGAAAGUUACCUUGAUCUUCGAAGAAUGUUGCAGAACACGCUGCUUGAUGCAGCAAAUAAGGCUACUGAAUUACAGGCGGUGAAUUCAGAAGAAGCAUGUGGUGAGGAGACAAGAGUAAAUGAUGUUCAGAACAUAACGGAUGAAGUGGCUUCUAUGUCUACGAUAGGUACUAAUAGUAGUAAGUGUUUGAAACCUUCAAGCUUGACGGAAAAAGAAGAACAUCAAAAUGGGCAGGAUCUACGCCGACUGAUGGCUUCUGAGAAAGUUUAUUGUGCUACUGCUGAUGAGAAAAACCACACGCAAAACAAUAACAAUUUUGCUUCCUUUCCAAGAAUUAGUCUUAUGGAGAAGAACCCAACUGCCCAUACAGUAGAGUGGAUGGAGUCACCACCUCGGGAAGGAAGAUUUCGUCUGCGUAGCCCAAAAAGGGAAAUUGUUUCGCCUUUGAAGUUGAUUGAUGAUAGAAGAUAUGCUAAACGGAGAAAAAUAAGGAAGUGGACUUUAUUGGAGGAAGAGACUUUGAUAAAGGCGGUGAGAGAGCAUGGUAAAGGGAGCUGGAAACAAAUUCUGAGUAACUACCCUAACAUUUUUGAAGAAAGAACUGAGGUUGAUCUGAAGGACAAAUGGAGAAACAUAACUAAGAGUAGCUUGCUAUCAUGACCUUGAACUACGUUAUAUACUACGGAGUCCAUCAGUCUUGCAGCAUUCCCGAGGCCUAAACCUUGCUCGAGCCCGCUUUGACAAACUCAAAGCCCGAAAUCAAGACUGACCCGCCU